RNAcentral lists this ribosomal RNA (429 nucleotides) under Chloroflexota bacterium. RNAcentral's name for it is "Chloroflexi bacterium partial 16S ribosomal RNA". It matches the Rfam family "Bacterial small subunit ribosomal RNA", at positions 355 to 776 of the family's 1533-position model. The record is from RNAcentral. Lineage: Bacteria; Bacillati; Chloroflexota.
UGGGGAAUAUUGCACAAUGGGCGCAAGCCUGAUGCAGCCAUGCCGCGUGUAUGAAGAAGGCCUUCGGGUUGUAAAGCACUUUCAGCGGGGAGGAAGGCGAUAAGGUUAAUAACCUUGUCGAUUGACGUUACCCGCAGAAGAAGCACCGGCUAACUCCGUGCCAGCAGCCGCGGUAAUACGGAGGGUGCAAGCGUUAAUCGGAAUUACUGGGCGUAAAGCGCACGCAGGCGGUCUGUCAAGUCGGAUGUGAAAUCCCCGGGCUCAACCUGGGAACUGCAUUCGAAACUGGCAGGCUAGAGUCUUGUAGAGGGGGGUAGAAUUCCAGGUGUAGCGGUGAAAUGCGUAGAGAUCUGGAGGAAUACCGGUGGCGAAGGCGGCCCCCUGGACAAAGACUGACGCUCAGGUGCGAGAGCGUGGGGAGCAAACAGG